RNAcentral lists this ribosomal RNA (253 nucleotides) under uncultured bacterium. RNAcentral's name for it is "partial 16S ribosomal RNA". It matches the Rfam family "Bacterial small subunit ribosomal RNA", at positions 524 to 776 of the family's 1533-position model. The record is from RNAcentral.
UACGUAGGGUGCGAGCGUUGUCCGGAAUUAUUGGGCGUAAAGGGCUCGUAGGCGGUCUGUCGCGUCGAAAGUGAAAACUCAGGGCUUAACCCUGAGCCUGCUUCCGAUACGGGCAGACUAGAGGUAUGCAGGGGAGAACGGAAUUCCUGGUGUAGCGGUGAAAUGCGCAGAUAUCAGGAGGAACACCGGUGGCGAAGGCGGUUCUCUGGGCCUUACCUGACGCUGAGACGCGAAAGCGUGGGGAGCAAACAGG